GAUGAACGCUGACAGAAUGCUUAACACAUCAGCAAGUGAUUGGUGGCGGACGGGUGAGUAACGCGUAAAGAACUUGCCUCAAAGCUAGGGACAACAUUUGGAAACGAAUGCUAAUACCUAAUACUGUGAGAGAGCUUUGCGUCACAUUAGCUAGUUGGAGAGGUAACUGCUCACCAAGGAGAGGAUGGGUAGCCGGCCUGAGAGGGUGAUCGGCCACAAGGGGACUGGGAGACGGCCCUUACUCCUACGGGAGGCAGCAGUGGGGAAUAUUGGACAAUGGACCAAAGUCUUAUCCAGCAAUUCGGUGUGCACGAUGAAGUUUUCGGAAUGUAAAGUGCUUUCAGUUGAGAAGCGGUACCAACAGAAGAAGUGACGGCUAACUACGUGCCAGCAGCCGCGGUAAUUC
Molecule: ribosomal RNA, 406 nt
Filed under: uncultured bacterium
Lineage: Bacteria
Description: partial 16S ribosomal RNA
Rfam family: Bacterial small subunit ribosomal RNA
Source: RNAcentral